AGAGUCUUGACGUUAUAUCAAUUUUGAACGCCAAGUGGAUGCUUUUUACACAUGGGUUUGAACGGCGCAACACGACUUUCAAGACCAGUGCUGACGAAGAACGGGUGGAGGCAAUGUAUCGAACGCGCCAGUAGCGGGGAUAACUACGCGAAAGUGUAGCUAAUACCGCAUACGAUUCUUCGGGGAAAGCGGGGGGACCUCGGGCCUCGCACUAUUAGAGCGGCCGAUAUCGGAUUAGCUAGUUGGUGGGGUAACGGCUCACCAAGGCGACGAUCCGUAGCUGGUUUGAGAGGACACCAGCCACACUGGGACUGGAGAUUACGGCCCAGACUCCUACGUGAGGCAGCAGUGGGGAAUUUUUGGACAAUGGGGGAAACCCUGAUCCAGCCAUCCCGGCGUGUGCGAUGAAGGCCUUUCGGGUUGUAAAAAGCACUUUGGCAGGAAGAAAACGCACGGGAUAAUACCCGUGCAACUGACGGUACCUGCAGAAUAAGCACCGGCUAACUACGUGCCAGCAGCCGCGGUAAUACGUAGGGUGCAAGUGUUAAUCGGAAUUACUGGGCGUAAAAGCGUGCGCAGGCGGGUUCGGAAAGAAAGAUGUGAAAUCCCAGAGCUUAACUUUGAACUGCAUUUUUAACUACCGAGCUAGAGUGUGUCAGAGGAGGUGGAAUUCGCGUGUAGCAGUGAAAUGCGGGAUAUGGAGAACACCGAUGGCGAAGGCAGCCUCCUGGGAUAACACUGACGCUCAUGCACGAAAGCGGGAGCAAACAGGAUUAGAUACCUGAUAUGUCCACGCCUAAACGAUGUCAGAAUUAGUUGUUGGGGCCUUCUGGGCCUUUGUAGCGCAGCUAACGCGUGAAGUUGACCACGGGGAGCACGGCCGGUAAGAUUAAACUCAAAGGAAUUGACGGGACCCGCACAAGCGGUGGAUGAUGUGGAUUAAUUCGAUGCAACGCGAAAAAACCUUACCUACUCCUUGAUAUGUUCAAAUCCCGAAGAGAUUUGGGAGUGCUCGCAAGAGAACCGGAACACAGGUGCUGCAUGGCUGUCGUCAGCUCGUGUCGUGAGAUGUUGCCAAGUCCCGCAACAGCGCAACCCUUUGUCAUUAGUUAUACGCGAAAGGGCACUCUAAUUUAGACUGCCGGUGACAAACCGGAGGAAGGUGGGGAUGACGUCAAGUCCUCAUGGCCUUUAUGGGUAGGGUUUCACACGUCAUACAAUGGUCGGGACAGAGGGUCGCCAACCCGCGAGGGGGAGCCAAUCCCAGAACCCGAUCGUAGUCCGGAUCGCAGUCUGCAACUCGACUGCGUGAAGUCGGAAUCGCCAGUAAUCGCGGAUCAGCAUGUCGCGGUGAAUACGUCUCUGGUCUUGUACACACCGCCCGUCACACCAUGGGAGGUCAGUACUAGCAGUUAGCCUAACCGUAAGGAGGGCGAUUACCACGGUAGGAUUCAUGACUGGGGUGAAGUCGUGGUCAAAG
This 1480-nucleotide ribosomal RNA is filed under the name uncultured Bordetella sp. RNAcentral describes it as "partial 16S-23S ribosomal RNA intergenic spacer". It matches the Rfam family "Bacterial small subunit ribosomal RNA". The record is from RNAcentral. Lineage: Bacteria; Pseudomonadati; Pseudomonadota; Betaproteobacteria; Burkholderiales; Alcaligenaceae.